This 540-nucleotide ribosomal RNA is filed under the name uncultured bacterium. Its description in RNAcentral is "bacterial SSU rRNA". It matches the Rfam family "Bacterial small subunit ribosomal RNA", at positions 771 to 1313 of the family's 1533-position model. The record is from RNAcentral.
ACCCAAUAGAUACCCAGGUAGUCCGCACCGUAAACGUUGUAUACUAGUUGUUGGUGGUUUCAACGCCAUCAGUGACGUCGCUAAACGCAUUAAGUAUACCGCCUGGGGAGUAUGCUCGCAAGGGUGAAACUCAAAGAAAUUGACGGGGGCCCGCACAAGCGGUGGAGCAUGUGGUUUAAUUCGACGAUACGCGAGAAACCUUACCUGGGUUUGACAUGGAUUUGACUGGGGUAGAGAUACCCCUUCCCGCAAGGGCAGAUUCACAGGUGUUGCAUGGUCGUCGUCAGCUCGUGUUGUGAGAUGUUGGGUUAAGUCCCGCAACGAGCGCAACCCCUAUCUUCUGUUACCAUCAUUAAGUUGGGGACUCUGAAGAAACCGCCGGUGACAAACCGGAGGAAGGUGGGGAUGACGUCAGAUCAGCAUGGCCCUUAUAUCCAGGGCUACACACGUGCUACAAUGGCCGGUACAGAGGGACGCAAAGCCGCGAGGUGGAGCAAAUCCCACAAAGCCGGUCUCAGUUCAGAUUGCAGUCUGCAACUC